This 72-nucleotide transfer RNA is filed under the name Rattus norvegicus (Norway rat). It matches the Rfam family "tRNA". Rfam says of the family: Transfer RNA (tRNA) molecules are approximately 80 nucleotides in length. Their secondary structure includes four short double-helical elements and three loops (D, anti-codon, and T loops). Further hydrogen bonds mediate the characteristic L-shaped molecular structure. tRNAs have two regions of fundamental functional importance: the anti-codon, which is responsible for specific mRNA codon recognition, and the 3' end, to which the tRNAs corresponding amino acid is attached (by aminoacyl-tRNA synthetases). tRNAs cope with the degeneracy of the genetic code in two manners: having more than one tRNA (with a specific anti-codon) for a particular amino acid; and 'wobble' base-pairing, i.e. permitting non-standard base-pairing at the 3rd anti-codon position. Lineage: Eukaryota; Metazoa; Chordata; Mammalia; Rodentia; Muridae. The record is from Rfam by way of RNAcentral.
GGGGAUUUAGCUCAGUGGUAGAGCGUUUGCCUCGCAAGCACAAGGCCCUGGGUUCAAUCCCCAGCUCCCCCC